This 101-nucleotide non-coding RNA is filed under the name Lysinibacillus sphaericus. RNAcentral's name for it is "Lysinibacillus sp. SAM-I sequence". It matches the Rfam family "SAM riboswitch aptamer (S box leader)". Rfam says of the family: The SAM riboswitch is found upstream of a number of genes which code for proteins involved in methionine or cysteine biosynthesis in Gram-positive bacteria. The SAM riboswitch acts at the level of transcription termination control. The predicted structure consists of a complex stem-loop region followed by a single stem loop terminator region. Lineage: Bacteria; Bacillati; Bacillota; Bacilli; Caryophanales; Bacillaceae. RNAcentral also lists the same sequence under 2 other names. The record is from RNAcentral.
UUCUUAUAAAGAGAGAUGGAAGGACUGGCCUAAUGAAAUCUCGGCAGCGGAACAUCAGUUACCGUGCUAAAUCCAGCAAGCAAUAGCUUGGCAGAUAAGAA